Molecule: ribosomal RNA, 406 nt
Filed under: uncultured bacterium
Lineage: Bacteria
Description: partial 16S ribosomal RNA
Rfam family: Bacterial small subunit ribosomal RNA
Source: RNAcentral
AUUGAACGCUGGCGGCAGGCCUAACACAUGCAAGUCGAACGAGUGGCGGACGGGUGAGUAAUGUCUGGGAAACUGCCUGAUGGCGGGGGCUAACUACUGGAAACGGUAGCUAAUACCGCAUACCAUCAGAUGUGCCCAGAUGGGAUUAGCUGGUGGGGGGGGUAACGGCUCACCAAGGCGACGAUCCCUAGCUGGUCUGAGAGGAUGAACAGCCACACUUGAACGGAGACACGGACCAGACUCCUCCGGGAGGCAGCAGUAGGGAAUAUUGCACAAGGGGCGCAAGCCUGAUGCAGCCAUGCCGCGUGUGUGAAGAAGGCCUGCGGGUUAUAAAGUACUUUCAGCGGGGAGGCGUUACCCGCAGAAAAGGCACCGGCUAACUCCGUGCCAGCAGCCGCGGUAAUAC